Molecule: ribosomal RNA, 481 nt
Filed under: uncultured Methanosaeta sp.
Lineage: Archaea; Methanobacteriati; Methanobacteriota; Methanomicrobia; Methanotrichales; Methanotrichaceae
Description: bacterial SSU rRNA
Rfam family: Archaeal small subunit ribosomal RNA
Source: RNAcentral
AAAUGAAGUUGACGGGGAGCACCACAACGGGUGGAGCUUGCGGUUUAAUUGGAUUCAACGCCGGAAAUCUUACCGGGACCGACAGCAAUAUGAAGGCCAGGCUGAAGACUUUGCCGAAUUAGCUGAGAGGUGGUGCAUGGCCGUCGUCAGUUCGUACUGUGAAGCAUCCUGUUAAGUCAGGCAACGAGCGAGACCCACGCCCACAGUUGCCAGCGUACUCUCUGGAGUGACGGGUACACUGUGGGGACCGCCGCUGCUAAAGCGGAGGAAGGAAUGGGCAACGGUAGGUCAGUAUGCCCCGAAUAUCCCGGGCUACACGCGAGCUACAAUGGUUGGUACAAUGGGUAUCUACCCCGAAAGGGGACGGGAAUCUCCUAAAACCAAUCUUAGUUCGGAUUGAGGGCUGCAACUCGCCCUCAUGAAGCUGGAAUCCGUAGUAAUCGCGUUUCAACAGAACGCGGUGAAUACGUCCCUGCUCCUU